RNAcentral lists this ribosomal RNA (390 nucleotides) under Octopus vulgaris (common octopus). RNAcentral describes it as "partial 16S ribosomal RNA". It matches the Rfam family "Bacterial large subunit ribosomal RNA", at positions 1946 to 2537 of the family's 2925-position model. The record is from RNAcentral. Lineage: Eukaryota; Metazoa; Mollusca; Cephalopoda; Octopoda; Octopodidae.
CUGUACUAAGGUAGCAUAAUAAUUUGCCCUAUAAAUUGGGGCUAGAAUGAAUGGUUUGACGAGAAUUUAACUGUCUCUAUUUUAUUUAUUAGAAAUUAAUUUUUAUAGUGAAAAAGCUUUAAUUAUUUAAAGGGACGAAAAGACCCUAUUGAGCUUUUGUUAUUAUAUAGAUAUAUAUAUAUAUAUAUAUAAUUUAUUUGUAAAUAACUUUGGUUGGGGUGAUCAAGGAAUAAAAUUAAUUUAAAGUAUUGUAUUAACUUCCUUAAUUUUGAGUUUAGUUGAAGAAUAAACCAAGUUUUUUGCUUAGAAGAUAAGUUACCAUAGGGAUAACAGCGUAAUUUUUUUUGAGAGUUCAUAUUGAAAAAAGAGAUUGCGACCUCGAUGUUGGAU